GAAGCCUUCUCUUCUGCCCCUGCCUAGAGGGUUGGGGAGCACAUGGGCCCCUAGAGAGGGAGGGACACCUCGCUGGUACAGGGAUGUGAGUGCAGACCCUGCCAUCUCAUCCUACAGGUGUGGACUUCCUGGUGCCCGUGAUGGGCUAUAUCUGCCGCAUCUGCCACAAGUUCUAUCACAGCAACUCAGGGGCACAGCUCUCCCACUGCAAGUCCCUGGGCCACUUUGAGAACCUGCAGAAAUACAAGGCGGCCAAGAACCCCAGCCCCACCACCCGACCUGUGAGCCGCCGGUGCGCAAUCAACGCCCGGAACGCUUUGACAGCCCUGUUCACCUCCA
RNAcentral lists this small RNA (339 nucleotides) under Pan troglodytes (chimpanzee). RNAcentral describes it as "processed transcript". The record is from RNAcentral. Lineage: Eukaryota; Metazoa; Chordata; Mammalia; Primates; Hominidae.